Molecule: ribosomal RNA, 433 nt
Filed under: uncultured bacterium
Lineage: Bacteria
Description: partial 16S ribosomal RNA
Rfam family: Bacterial small subunit ribosomal RNA
Source: RNAcentral
AGCGAACGCUGGCGGCAGGCCUAACACAUGCAAGUCGAACGAACUCUUCGGAGUUAGUGGCGGACGGGUGAGUAACACGUGGGAACGUGCCUUUUGGUUCGGAAUAACUCAGGGAAACUUGUGCUAAUACCGAAUGUGCCCUUCGGGGGAAAGAUUUAUCGCCAUUAGAGCGGCCCGCGUCUGAUUAGCUAGUUGGUGAGGUAACGGCUCACCAAGGCGACGAUCAGUAGCUGGUCUGAGAGGAUGACCAGCCACACUGGGACUGAGACACGGCCCAGACUCCUACGGGACGCAGCAGUGGGGAAUCUUGCGCAAUGGGCGAAAGCCUGACGAAGCCAUGCCGCGUGAAUGAUGAAGGUCUUAGGAUUGUAAAAUUCUUUCACCGGGGACGAUAAUGACGGUACCCGGAGAAGAAGCCCCGGCUAACUUCGUG